UUUCCGUAGGUGAACCUGCGGAAGGAUCAUUAAUGAGUUGUCAUGGGGUUCGAUGCUGGCAGCCAAUUUUUGGAUGCAUGUGCUUGCCCUAACAAUCAUCUUCCAAACACCUGUGCACAUUUUUGAGGGAGUCUUGAGUUGGUUGCCGCUCUUGGGUGAUUUCUCACAUUCCCUUAAAUCAUUAUACGCUAUUAACAAUGAUGAACGUGCUCUGUGCCGCAAGGCUAUUAAUAUAAUACAACUUUUAACAACGGAUCUCUUGGCUCUC
RNAcentral lists this unclassified non-coding RNA (268 nucleotides) under plant metagenome. Its description in RNAcentral is "partial contains small subunit ribosomal RNA, internal transcribed spacer 1, and 5.8S ribosomal RNA". The record is from RNAcentral.